AUCUUCGUUCUCAACAAGCCGUGAGUAAACUGAGGAUUUCCCGGCUGAAAGGACUCAGUGUCUGCCUGUCCCCGGCCCAGAAAUGAAAGCGAGUUUCAGCCGAUCCUCAUUGUGGGGCCUGCUGAAAAAGCAGCCCGGGUCGCCCCGGCCAGCCCCGGCGUCCUGAAUCGGAGCCCUGUGCGCGCCAGGCCGGGCCGCGCGCCCGGGUUGCAGGAUGGCGUGCCCAGGCCAGCCCAUCUGCGGCCGCGGGCCGGCGGGGAGGAAGCGUCCCUGGGGAUGAAUGGGGCUUUGUUCGUAGGCAGCCGCGGCUACCCUCUGCAGGCCCGGCCCGCACAACAGAGGCUGUAUGCGAGAGGAAUGGAAAUGAGCCUCAGGCCCUGCCGAAGGAGCCCCAUCCCCUUCCCCGCGCGGGGCUGAGGAAUGCUGGCCAGCCGGAAAGGAACCCUCGCUGGGAACGCCGCUCUCGCGCCUCUGAAACCCCAUUGAGAAGAACCCUUUGAUGCAAUUAAAGCGCAUUUCAUUGCAGGCCUGGGAGGAGGGAACGACCGGCAAGCUUUUUUCUGUCUCGGACGUGUGUAUGCACCUUUGUGGGCCGGGUUACUUAGAGACCAGGCGGGAACUUGAGCUCCCUCUCUCGCAGACGUUCUGUAACAUCAGAAAAGCGUACCCAUAAACAGAUUGGUUUUCACCAGGGGUGGAACUCAAUUUGGACACGAUCCAGGCUGACCUGCAGGCCGGGGUUCCUACUUUGAAAGGCUCUUUGGUGCGCCUUACACCCACCUUCCCUGCUGUAAAGGUUUAGGCGGAAAAGAAAUUGCGUUUGCAGGAGGAAGUUGUUUCUGAGGUUACUGCUCAGCAUUUUCCAUUUUCUCAGUGGUGGGGUGGGCCGUGUCGCAUAUCCAGAAGUGAUGUCACAGCCAGACCUGCAAAAUGAUGUAACCUGCAAGUGUUGAAGGACGACGAUGGGACAGCUAUUUUGAUACUCGUAUUAUUUUAUAACAUUUCCCUGCUUUUUCCAUUGAGACAACUGUGUGACCUCAGAAAAUCCACAUAGCCUCUCUGAACUUAGUAUUUUUGUGUGUGUGUUAAAAUGAGUAUCACAAAGCCGGAGAACGAAUGUGAUGAAGUUCUGGGUGCUUGUGGAAUUCUUUCUAAGUUGGAGGUGGACACUUUAUCUACCUGCACAGGUGGAAGAUAUGUGGGUCUGGAACUCCGUGUAUGCCUCCUUGAGAACAUGAACCUUUAAACAACAACAACAACAAUAACAACACGAAGACAAAGUCCUGUCUGCUCUCCCAGGCUAGAGUGCAGCGUGCAAUCGUGCAAUCGCAGCCUACAGUAAGAAGCCAGAAACGUGAAGAGAAGACCUCGCCUUGAUUUGCCAGAUGACCCCUGGCCUUUUUAGUCAAGUUCCUGGAGAAGUUAGGGUGGAGACUUAUUUGUCCUGUGUUUGGGGCAAUAAAAGGGGAGGGGCCGCCUCCUCCAGCCUGUUCUAAAAAGCCAAAAAGCAAGGCUAUUUACUCAGACCUGGGCUACUAAGUGCUGGGGUGGCCCAUGUUGACUUAAAUGAGCCCUUGCAGUUAGGUGGGGCUCUCUGGAGCUGUUAGUCAUGUGAGGUUGCCAGGGCAACUUAAUGUCUUAUGAGUUGGAAUGCUUCAAGAAGUACAAAGAGGAGACUGCAAGAGUGCAUUACAACUUACAGUCAUAUGUUCAAUAACAUGUCAUCUUUCCUAAUGGGGCUUUUAUUUUUAUUUUAUUUUGUGGGAUUGAAAGAUCAGAAGCCGGAAAUUAUCUGGAGAGGAUAAAGAAAAGGAAAAAUUAAAGGAGGGGGCUAUUUCUGUUCCUUAUGUGGGCAGCGAUUAAACAAGGAGAACAUCUGGUCCUGGAGCGGGUCUCUGCAGCACUGCUUUUAAUUACCCCGUCAUUUGGUCUCAUGCUAAAUUAGUGACUGUGGGAGCAGCUUAGAUCUCCAAACUGACAGCCCCGAAGAGCUCAACUCAGCCUGCCACAUAGUCAGAGGGGAAACACGGAGCUUCCGGUUUCAUAUUUAAACCAGGGAUUGACUCAUAAUUGUAGCUGUCAGGAGGGUGAUGGAGACAUUAUGUAAUCUGGUUCUUAUGGCGAUGUGUGUUUAAGGUUUCUGCUCUGUAAAUUCCAGAGGAAAUUUUGUGUCCAUUGAGGGAGAGCUUGCUGGCUGCUCUGUGGUGUGCCCUGCAGGGUAAUUACAGUGCUAUUAAAGGUUCCUAAAUCUG
RNAcentral lists this long non-coding RNA (2252 nucleotides) under Homo sapiens (human). RNAcentral describes it as "HSALNT0380669". The record is from RNAcentral. Lineage: Eukaryota; Metazoa; Chordata; Mammalia; Primates; Hominidae.